AAAUAAUAAACAAUUAUGUAUUUAGUUUCGACCUAAAAUUUGAUAUUAAAUUACCUUAUUUU
RNAcentral lists this transfer RNA (62 nucleotides) under Parcoblatta fulvescens. RNAcentral describes it as "tRNA-Arg". The record is from RNAcentral. Lineage: Eukaryota; Metazoa; Arthropoda; Insecta; Blattodea; Blattellidae.